GAGAGAGAGAGAGAGAGAGAGAGAGAAAUACUUAGAGAACAAAACCAUACACAUAAGAGCAACAACAACAACAGCAACAACAACAACAACAACAACAACAACAAUGAUCACAAGAAAGCAAGCGGGGAGGAAAGAGGAAGGGGGAGAGAAAGAGUGUGACCUGCUCUCUCCAACUUACACCUUGGAAGAGGACGUGAACAUCGUGGACAUGAUGGGCAGGUACCUUCCCUUCGCCAACGAGGAGGGGGAAGCACAAGAAGAACAAGAGGAAGAAGAGGAAGACGAAGAGGAAGAGGAGGAGGAGGAGGAAGAAAAGGAGAAGGACCUAGUAAUAAUUUUGAGAGAAAUGAUUAUAAUUCUAAUUUAUCACCACAAACAUCAAGUCUGCUGCUACACCCGUACACAUACAGCCAAUAUGGACCGUCUUACCAACAACAACAACAACAACAACAACAACCAGAAGAGACUAGUGACCCCUUAUACUAUGACAACAACCUCUACCCACAACAACCACAACAACCACAACUACAACAACCGGGAGAUGCUUGUGACCACUAUUACUACAGCAAGCAUCCUCAAGAACAACAACAACAACAGCUGGAAGACAUGUACGACCACAGUGACUACUACUACCACCACCACCACCACCACCACCACUACUCCAAAGAACAACAACAACAACAACAACAACAAUCAUACAACUACGACGGUUAUGAAUGUUACUAUGAACAACAACAACAACAACAACAACAACAAGAACAACAACAACAACAACAACAACAACAACAACAACAAUCAGGAUAUAUAACAGCUGACAAUGAAACAGGUGAG
Molecule: long non-coding RNA, 831 nt
Organism: Scylla paramamosain (green mud crab)
Lineage: Eukaryota; Metazoa; Arthropoda; Malacostraca; Decapoda; Portunidae
Exons: 3
Source: RefSeq, a predicted model, not a curated record